CUCCCUCUCUUCCUCUCUGAUUUCUCCGAUUGAAGUCGCGGCCCCUUGAUUCGUGCACGCCGCGAUUUCUUGCCAGCGAGAUCACCGGAGGUUGAGGUAAACUCUCCUUCCUCUUCCUCUCUCCUCUCUCCUUUUUUUUGUGCCUUUGUGCACAACUAUCAGUGACAAAUGUCGCUGGAUUUCGUUGGAGAAGGGACCCUCUCUUUGGUCUCUUCUUCUCUUUGAUUUUUCAGUACCGACGAUCACUGCCGACCGUCGGUUUUGACCUCUCCAAACUCGAGAGGGUUGCUCCCCUACUGUUGGCCUUCACCGUGCCGGCUCCAGUCCGGACGGUCGGUUAAAGGGAGGGACCUGUCGGUCCCCUAUUUUGGCC
RNAcentral lists this long non-coding RNA (373 nucleotides) under Elaeis guineensis (African oil palm). RNAcentral describes it as "long non-coding RNA (EGUI_LNC017993)". Lineage: Eukaryota; Viridiplantae; Streptophyta; Magnoliopsida; Arecales; Arecaceae. The record is from RNAcentral.